AUAACAUGAUUUUAAGAUCUAUAAGCAGCAGGAUUUCUCUUAAUAAACGGCUCUGUUGAAUUAUCGACAACCUCAUCUUUUUAUUUUCAACCGCCACUGGCCCAUUUGUGCUGUGCUGGUCACACAAUACAUCUCCAGAGAAAGAAUUGAUGUGAUGGAACCUGAAUGCAGAUUUGUAGAGGAAGAAUACCCUUUCUUUAUUUUCCUUAUUGGGGGUAAAGGGAAUUUUCUGCGUUUUCUUUCAUGAAAAAUGUGUUUUGCAUGAUUACACAUGUAUAAUGUAUGUCAAAUUGCUUGUCUUCUCAAUGGGAUUGAAGGGAGAGAGAGAAUUUGGAACUCGAAAUUUGAGAAAAGGCAUGUUCCAAUUGUUUUUGCAUGUAAUUGGGGGGAGGAAUAAAAUAUUAAAUAAAAAGAAAGCAGAAAAUAUAACUCCACUUUCUGCUUAUUGGUGGUAGAUGGGAGAACCAGGUGAGAUAGGGGGGCCUGAUACCCUCAUGAGGACAAAGGAAAUGACUAGGCAUCAAAAACAAAAAUUGGGGAAAGAACGGACGAUUGAUCUCCGCGGGGGAGGUCCGGAGUCGCAGAGCCCAGAUUAGGAGGCAGGCAGUGGAGCUCCCUGGGGUGAGCAGGUGGUGGGGGUGGAAUUUGAGCUCUGGGUGGAGUUUGGUGGCUGGUGAGCUGUCCCGGGAUGGGGGGCGGGGCUUCUGGUCUGCGAGGAGGUGGGAUAUCAUUGGAGGCCAGCGUUGUUUCUGGAGCCUGGGAGGGCGGGGCCGGGCUCUUGGGCCUGGGAGGAGCUGCCCAGAAAGGACUUGCUGAGAGUCUGAGGAGGUCACCUUUUUUUCCAAGAAGCCAAACGGCUGUGUACUAGAAGGACCCCCCGAGAUCUGAGCGGGAUCUUGGCCAGCCCCCUGCUUUUCUUUGGAUGCCUUUUUCCCUGGGCCUUACCCUUCCCGACGGACCUCUGGCCAGCCCCCUGCAAAGACAGUGAAGGGAAAGAUGUCUCCCCCUCUGGGAUCCUUCUCUCUCUGCUCAGCCUGAAGAGGACCAAGACCUGGCCCAGGCAGGCAGCCUGAGGGCAUGGCCCCCGGAGCCCACCGGCCCCCCUGGCAGGUGAGUGGGGGCAAUGGACCAAGGUCAGGACGGUAGGCAUUUACACAGAUACAGAGGAUUGGCCUGUCUUACCUAAUUAUCUUUUUUUUUUGGCUUUUUUGGGGGUCAAGUGACUUGCCCAAGAUCACACAACUAGGAAGUGUUAAGGGUUGGAGGUCAGAUUUGAAUUCAGGUCCUCCUGAUUUUAGGGCUAGUGCCCUAUCCAUUGCACCACCUAGCUACCCCUAAUUAUCAUUUCUUUAAAUUGAAAAAAAAAGGCACACAAAAAAAGAGAUAGUAUAUGCUAGUAACAACACUGUCCUGCUCUCUUGUUUUAAACUUUCAUAAUCUCUUUUCCAUCUCUAGCAAUAACAUCCCCCCCCCAAAAAAAAAAAAAACACAACUUAGUGCUUUUGUAGUUUUGAUUUUUAAGUUUUUCCUUCCUUAUCAUGACUGUCCAAGAAACACACUUUCAUUCAUUAAUUGAUUAUAGAUGACAUUUCUUUGCUCUCUUUUUGCAAUCCUAACACACAUUCCCUUCUCCCUUCUGUUUCCUUCUUCAAAACU
Long non-coding RNA from Antechinus flavipes (yellow-footed antechinus), 1656 nucleotides. RefSeq lists it as uncharacterized. The record is from RefSeq and is a predicted model, not a curated record. Lineage: Eukaryota; Metazoa; Chordata; Mammalia; Dasyuromorphia; Dasyuridae. The transcript has 2 exons.